This 75-nucleotide transfer RNA is filed under the name Holosporaceae bacterium. RNAcentral describes it as "tRNA-Val". It matches the Rfam family "tRNA". Rfam says of the family: Transfer RNA (tRNA) molecules are approximately 80 nucleotides in length. Their secondary structure includes four short double-helical elements and three loops (D, anti-codon, and T loops). The record is from RNAcentral. Lineage: Bacteria; Pseudomonadati; Pseudomonadota; Alphaproteobacteria; Holosporales; Holosporaceae.
GGGUGAUUAGCUCAGUGGUAGAGCAUCUCGUUUACACCGAGGUGGUCGGCAGUUCGAAUCUGUCAUCACCCACCA